RNAcentral lists this ribosomal RNA (253 nucleotides) under uncultured bacterium. Its description in RNAcentral is "partial 16S ribosomal RNA". It matches the Rfam family "Bacterial small subunit ribosomal RNA", at positions 524 to 776 of the family's 1533-position model. The record is from RNAcentral.
UACGAAGGGGGCAAGCGUUAAUCGGAAUUACUGGGCGUAAAGCGUGCGCAGGCGGUUUUGUAAGUCUGAUGUGAAAUCCCCGGGCUCAACCUGGGAAUUGCGAUGGAGACUGCAAGGCUUGAAUCUGGCAGAGGGGGGUAGAAUUCCACGUGUAGCAGUGAAAUGCGUAGAGAUGUGGAGGAACACCGAUGGCGAAGGCAGCCCCCUGGGUCAAGAUUGACGCUCAUGCACGAAAGCGUGGGGAGCAAACAGG